GGUACGCGGCAAAAGAAAUGAAGCAGAACGAGCUCUUCCUUCUUCCUCUCAACAGCGUCCCAUUGCAUCAAGGAGAAGGAGAAGAGUGGAGGGUACUAGUGAGCCACUAGAUGUAUCAGAGGCAGUAGAUCCAUCUCUUUCAGAGCCAUAUGCCUCACCAUCUGUUGUCAUUGCUGCUGAUGCUACUGAGGCUAGUCAGCAAGAGUAACCAUCCGAUCACGAUGAUAUUUCUGUUGGACCAUUACCUGGAGGCUCUAAGGAUCCAUCCAUUCUGAAAAGCUUUAAAAAUCACGUUGUGUUUGCAAUAUGGUCAAGAGAGACAGCUUGGCAUUGCGAGUAGAUGAGAGGUGAAGAGCAUCAGUGGAUAUCUUACGUUACUUGAGGUAAUUUGGAUGCCGUAUUGGAGGGCUCGUGCACAUCACCCAUUACCAGAGAUUACAUUUUUCUCGGGUUGUUUGAAAUGUGGAAGUAUUAUCGAACCAUAUCAUCCUGAGAGGGUAUUACGACAGUUUGGGUAUGUACAAACUAUUCAUCCACCUCCAUUAUCACCUAUUGAAGCUAAGCGGGGUGCAGGUACGACAUCAUAUCGAGUAAUUUAUGCAUUUAUUGACGAUAGUUGAAAUCGGUAGGAUAUUCAUUUAUUACCACCACAUCGACGCGGUAGACCUUGUGAAUUUCCAUGGCACUUUACAUAUGAAUACUUACCGUGGUAUGGAUCUAUUACUCAUGCAUUGAUACAAAAUCCUAAACGUAGAUCAGGGUUCGAUAGAGGUGGCGAAGAUCUACUCAGUCUUGCUGAAGCAGUAAGAUUUUAAGUUUAUGUUUAAGUUAUUAUUGAAUAUAGUUUAUUUAAAUCAAAAAAAUUGAUAUAUUUUUUUUUCAGUGUAAUUGUGUUGCAUUACGUGCUCUCAAUCUUACCAUGUCAAGUGUAGAACCCGUAUCCUCAGAUGCAUGGAGAGAGACGUGUAUCCACGUAAAUCGUAUUCUAUCAUCUUCUACAAUCUUCAAUCCAUCGCCCCCGUGUGAUGCUACCGGACCCUCCACAUCUCAUACUUCUCAACCCCCCAAUCAAGAUGAGCAAGACUAAUUCAAGCACGAUGAGCAAGUCUAAUUCAAGCACGAACAGAAUGGAACAUUGAAUCAAUUAAUUAUUUUUAUUAGUACUUUUAUUGGCUGUAUU
This is a long non-coding RNA of Diospyros lotus (date-plum), 1180 nucleotides long. RefSeq lists it as uncharacterized. The transcript is spliced from 3 exons. Lineage: Eukaryota; Viridiplantae; Streptophyta; Magnoliopsida; Ericales; Ebenaceae. The record is from RefSeq and is a predicted model, not a curated record.